RNAcentral lists this long non-coding RNA (658 nucleotides) under Trifolium pratense (red clover). Its description in RNAcentral is "long non-coding RNA (TPRA_LNC006320)". The record is from RNAcentral. Lineage: Eukaryota; Viridiplantae; Streptophyta; Magnoliopsida; Fabales; Fabaceae.
UUUGUUUGAGCGUCAAUUUAGGUUUUAAUAUGUAGCAUAGCUGAUUCUGACAUUUUAUCUUAGAUGUAAAUUGAAAUUAGUACAUGAAACGUGACUUGGUACGUGAAAUUAAAUGUUUAAUUUUAAUAUGAAAUACUGUGACAUGGUGGCCCAUGGCUUCCUCAGUAUACAUUUAAUUUCGAAAAUUGUUGGCAUUAUUUUUUAUUUUUAUGAAUAGUAAUUGAGCUAUUGAAAAUAGUUUAGAAUAAUAGUAUAUAUUUUGGACAUUGUUUGGUGAAGGUGUCAGAGUAAGAGUUAUUGAAGCCACAGUACAUUUGUUAAAGGUGAAAGAGAUGUUUAGGAUGAGGAAAGGAUUCCCUUGUUGCAGCAAGGGAAGGAAAAUUAGCAUUGAUUUUCUUCAUGACCAAGAAAGUAAGUUCAUACUUUCAAACUAUGUCUAUAUAUAUGUGCUUUUAUAUUUCUAUUAAUUUAAAUUAAUUUUUUAAUUAUACUAGGUUUAAGUUUUGGAAGGGUACAAAUACUUUUAUAGUUAAUUUUUUGGCAAGCCUACUUUAGAAUGUAUGAUGCUAGUUAUUUUAGUUACAUUCUCAAUAGUGUUGUAUGAGAGUUAGAUUUGAAUUUGAAAUGAAAACCAUAGAUACUUCUCUCUAUGUUUCUA